Molecule: ribosomal RNA, 171 nt
Filed under: uncultured bacterium
Lineage: Bacteria
Description: partial 16S ribosomal RNA
Rfam family: Bacterial small subunit ribosomal RNA
Source: RNAcentral
AAUUGCUAGUAAUCGUAGGUCAGCAUACUACGGUGAAUACGUUCCCGGGCCUUGUACACACCGCCCGUCAAACCAUGAGAGUUGGCAACACCCGAAGUCGGUAGUCUAACCGCAAGGAGGACGCCGCCGAAGGUGGGGUUNAUGAUUAGGGUUAAGUCGUAACAAGGUACC